UGGGGAAUAUUGCACAAUGGGCGCAAGCCUGAUGCAGCCAUGCCGCGUGUAUGAAGAAGGCCUUCGGGUUGUAAAGUACUUUCAGCGAGGAGGAAGGCGUUGUGGUUAAUAACCGCAACGAUUGACGUUACUCGCAGAAGAAGCACCGGCUAACUCCGUGCCAGCAGCCGCGGUAAUACGGAGGGUGCAAGCGUUAACCGGAAUUACUGGGCGUAAAGCGCACGCAGGCGGUCUGUCAAGUCGGAUGUGAAAUCCCCGGGCUCAACCUGGGAACUGCAUCCGAAACUGGCAGGCUAGAGUCUUGUAGAGGGGGGUAGAAUUCCAGGUGUAGCGGUGAAAUGCGUAGAGAUCUGGAGGGAUACCGGUGGCGAAGGCGGCCCCCUGGACAAAGACUGACGCUCAGGUGCGAAAGCGUGGGGAGCAAACA
RNAcentral lists this ribosomal RNA (427 nucleotides) under uncultured bacterium. RNAcentral's name for it is "partial 16S ribosomal RNA". It matches the Rfam family "Bacterial small subunit ribosomal RNA", at positions 355 to 774 of the family's 1533-position model. The record is from RNAcentral.